GUGCUCACUUCGGCAGCACAUAUAUUAAAAUUGGAAUGACACAGAGAAAGAUUAGCAUGCCCCCUACACAAGAAUGACAGGCAAAUUCGUGAAAAUGGUCCAGAUCUUU
Molecule: small nuclear RNA, 109 nt
Filed under: Erinaceus europaeus (western European hedgehog)
Lineage: Eukaryota; Metazoa; Chordata; Mammalia; Eulipotyphla; Erinaceidae
Source: RNAcentral